CCCUUAGAUGUUCUGGGCCGCACGCGUGCUACACUGAGUGGAUCAGCGGGUCAGGUUGCGCGAAAGCGUUUCCUAAUCUUUAAAUCCGCUCGUGAUGGGGAUUGACGGUUGCAAUUUUCUGUCAUGAACGAGGAAUACCUUGUAAGCGCGGGUCAUCAUCCCGCGCUGAAUACGUCCCUGCCCUUUGUACACACCGCCCGUCGCUCCUACCGAUUGAGUGGUCCGGUGAGGCUUUGGGAUCUGAGCGGAAAGAGCGUUUCGCUGUUUCUGCUCGGAAAACUCAGUCGAACCUUAUCAUUUAGAGGAAGGAGAUGUCGUAACA
This 322-nucleotide ribosomal RNA is filed under the name uncultured eukaryote. Its description in RNAcentral is "partial 18S ribosomal RNA". It matches the Rfam family "Eukaryotic small subunit ribosomal RNA", at positions 1470 to 1796 of the family's 1831-position model. The record is from RNAcentral.